UGAUUGUCACUACCAUUGCAAAUAGCUC
This 28-nucleotide small RNA is filed under the name Bombyx mori (domestic silkworm). Its description in RNAcentral is "piRNA piR-bmo-2070969". Lineage: Eukaryota; Metazoa; Arthropoda; Insecta; Lepidoptera; Bombycidae. The record is from RNAcentral.